Molecule: ribosomal RNA, 427 nt
Filed under: uncultured bacterium
Lineage: Bacteria
Description: bacterial SSU rRNA
Rfam family: Bacterial small subunit ribosomal RNA
Source: RNAcentral
GUGAGGAAUCUUCCGCAAUGGGCGAAAGCCUGACGGAGCGACACCGCGUGGAGGAAGAAGGCCUUUUGGUUGUAAACUCCUUUUCUGGGGGAAUAACUGAUGAAGGUACCCCAGGAAUAAGCACCGGCUAACUACGUGCCAGCAGCCGCGGUAAUACGUAGGGUGCAAGCGUUAUCCGGAAUUAUUGGGCGUAAAGCGUUCGUAGGCCGUUUGGCAAGUUUGCGGUUAAAUCCGGUCGCUCAACGAUCGAAUUGUCGCAAAAACUACCAAACUAGAGAAUGGCAAAGGUAACUGGAAUUCCGCAUGUAGGGGUAAAAUCCGUUGAUAUGCGGAGGAACACCAAAAGCGAAAGCAGGUUACUGGGCCAUUUCUGACGCUGAGGAACGAAAGCGUGGGGAGCAAACAGGAUUAGAUACCCGGGUAGUCC